RNAcentral lists this ribosomal RNA (783 nucleotides) under uncultured Neocallimastigales. Its description in RNAcentral is "partial large subunit ribosomal RNA". It matches the Rfam family "Eukaryotic large subunit ribosomal RNA", at positions 23 to 634 of the family's 3401-position model. The record is from RNAcentral. Lineage: Eukaryota; Fungi; Neocallimastigomycota; Neocallimastigomycetes; Neocallimastigales.
AGAGAGAGACAUGCGCGCAUAUCAAUAAGCGGAGGAAAAGAAACUAACUAGGAUUCCCUUCAGUAACGGCGAGUGAAGCGGGAAGAGCUCAAAUUUGAAAUCUUCAAGGUUCUACCUUGACGAAUUGUAGUUUAAAGAAGUGUUUUCUGUUGGAAUUUUGGUAAAAGUUCUUUGGAAAUAGGACAUCAAUAGAGGGUGAGAAUCCCGUAUUUGACCAUUAUUUCCAGCUGUGUGAUACACUUUCAAAGAGUCGGAUUGUUUGGGAAUGCAGUCCAAAAUGGGUGGUAAAUUUCAUCUAAAGCUAAAGUACUGGCGAGAGACCGAUAGCGAACAAGUACCGUGAGGGAAAGAUGAAAAGAACUUUGAAAAGAGAGUUAAACAGUACGUGAAAUUGUCAAAAGGGAAGCGUUUGACACCAGUGUUGUUUUCUCGAAAAUCAAUUCAAAUGAUGCCUGCCUUUGCUAGGUUGUUAUGACUUUAUCAGCAUACUGUCACUAUUUUCUUGUCUUUUUUAAUGCACUUUUCGUUUAACAAGUCAACAUCAAUUUCUUUUGUUGUAAAAGGGUCAUUGGAAGGUGGCUUUCUUUUCGGAGAAAGUGUUUAUAGCCUUUGGCCUCUGCAAUCGGAGAGAUUGAGGUCUGCAGCGUAGAUCCUUCGGGGUUAGAUACAUUUGUGCUAAGUUAUAGCUUUUCAUAGACAACAUGUUGACUAUGAUUAGUCAUGUAGCUUACUCGCUUAUGCUAUUUUACCUACGCUUAGGAUGUUGACAGCAGUAUAGACUGU